UGCAGUCGAGCGGAUGACGGGGAGCUUGCUCCCCUGAUUCAGCGGCGGACGGGUGAGUAACACGUGGGCAACCUGCCUGUAAGAUCGGGAUAACUCCGGGAAACCGGGGCUAAUACCGGAUGGUUCCUUCCUCCGCAUGGAGGAAGGCGGAAAGACGGUUUCGGCUGUCACUUACAGAUGGGCCCGCGGCGCAUUAGCUAGUUGGCGGGGUAACGGCCCACCAAGGCAACGAUGCGUAGCCGACCUGAGAGGGUGAUCGGCCACACUGGGACUGAGACACGGCCCAGACUCCUACGGGAGGCAGCAGUAGGGAAUCUUCCGCAAUGGACGAAAGUCUGACGGAGCAACGCCGCGUGAGCGAAGAAGGCCUUCGGGUCGUAAAGCUCUGUUGUAAGGGAAGAACAAGCGCCGGUUAACUGCCGGCGCCCUGACGGUACCUUACCAGAAAGCCACGGCUAACUACGUGCCAGCAGCCGCGGUAAUACGUAGGUGGCAAGCGUUGUCCGGAAUCAUUGGGCGUAAAGCGCGCGCAGGCGGUUUCUUAAGUCUGAUGUGAAAGCCCACGGCUCAACCGUGGAGGGUCAUUGGAAACUGGGAGACUUGAGUGCAGAAGAGGAAAGCGGAAUUCCACGUGUAGCGGUGAAAUGCGUAGAGAUGUGGAGGAACACCAGUGGCGAAGGCGGCUUUCUGGUCUGUAACUGACGCUGAGGCGCGAAAGCGUGGGGAGCAAACAGGAUUAGAUACCC
RNAcentral lists this ribosomal RNA (746 nucleotides) under Bacillus sp. (in: firmicutes). RNAcentral's name for it is "bacterial SSU rRNA". It matches the Rfam family "Bacterial small subunit ribosomal RNA", at positions 56 to 787 of the family's 1533-position model. Lineage: Bacteria; Bacillati; Bacillota; Bacilli; Caryophanales; Bacillaceae. The record is from RNAcentral.